CAGCAGUGGGGAAUCUUGCACAAUGGGCGAAAGCCUGAUCCAGCCAUGCCGCGUGAGUGAUGAAGGCCUUAGGGUUGUAAAGCUCUUUCACCAGGGAGGAUAAUGACGGUACCUGGAGAAUAAGCCCCGGCUAACUCCGUGCCAGCAGCCGCGGUAAUACGAAGGGGGCUAGCGUUGUUCGGAAUUACUGGGCGUAAAGGGAGCGUAGGCGGACAUUUAAGUCAGAGGUGAAAUCCCGGAGCUCAACUCCGGAACUGCCUUUGAUACUGGAUGUCUUGAGUGUGGGAGAGGUAAGUGGAAUUCCGAGUGUAGAGGUGAAAUUCGUAGAUAUUCGGAAGAACACCAGUGGCGAAGGCGACUUACUGGACCAUUACUGACGCUGAGGCUCGAAAGCGUGGGGAGCAAACAGGAUUAGAUACCCUGGUAGA
RNAcentral lists this ribosomal RNA (428 nucleotides) under uncultured bacterium. RNAcentral describes it as "bacterial SSU rRNA". It matches the Rfam family "Bacterial small subunit ribosomal RNA", at positions 349 to 794 of the family's 1533-position model. The record is from RNAcentral.